Molecule: transfer RNA, 71 nt
Filed under: Loxodonta africana (African savanna elephant)
Lineage: Eukaryota; Metazoa; Chordata; Mammalia; Proboscidea; Elephantidae
Rfam family: tRNA
About the family: Transfer RNA (tRNA) molecules are approximately 80 nucleotides in length. Their secondary structure includes four short double-helical elements and three loops (D, anti-codon, and T loops). Further hydrogen bonds mediate the characteristic L-shaped molecular structure. tRNAs have two regions of fundamental functional importance: the anti-codon, which is responsible for specific mRNA codon recognition, and the 3' end, to which the tRNAs corresponding amino acid is attached (by aminoacyl-tRNA synthetases). tRNAs cope with the degeneracy of the genetic code in two manners: having more than one tRNA (with a specific anti-codon) for a particular amino acid; and 'wobble' base-pairing, i.e. permitting non-standard base-pairing at the 3rd anti-codon position.
Source: Rfam by way of RNAcentral
GCAGUGGUGGUUCAGUGGUAGAGUUCUCGCCUUCCAUGCUGGAGACCCAGGUUUGAUUCCUAGCCAAAGCA